Molecule: ribosomal RNA, 490 nt
Filed under: uncultured bacterium
Lineage: Bacteria
Description: partial 16S ribosomal RNA
Rfam family: Bacterial small subunit ribosomal RNA
Source: RNAcentral
AGUGAACGCUGGCGGUAGGCCUAACACAUGCAAGUCGAACGGCAGCACAGGAGAGCUUGCUCUCUAGGUGGCGAGUGGCGGACGGGUGAGGAAUACAUCGGAAUCUGCCCAGUCGUGGGGGAUAACGUAGGGAAACUUACGCUAAUACCGCAUACGACCUUCGGGUGAAAGAGGGGGAUCGCAAGACCUCUCGCGAUUGGAUGAGCCGAUGUCGGAUUAGCUAGUUAGCGGGGUAAUGGCCCACCAAGGCGACGAUCCGUAGCUGGUCUGAGAGGAUGAUCAGCCACACUGGAACUGAGACACGGUCCAGACUCCUACGGGAGGCAGCAGUGGGGAAUAUUGGACAAUGGGCGCAAGCCCGAUCCAGCCAUACCGCGUGGGUGAAGAAGGCCUUCGGGUUGUAAAGCCCUUUUGUUGGGAAAGAAAUCUUUCAGGCUAAUACCCUGGGAGGAUGACGGUACCCAAAGAAUAAGCACCGGCUAACUUCGUG